AGCUGCUGGGUGCCUUUUCACUCCCUCCCUUUCUCUCUGCAGUAAUCUAAUUAACAGCUUGUUGACUUUGCUUAAAAUUUUGAUAUUUUUCAGCGGGGUAUGCUGACGGUGAUAAAAUUCUAAGGAACAGAGUGUAAUGUUGCAACAUCUUUUGCAUUUGGUCCUGUUCUGUUCUGCUAUGUAAUUUGAGGACUCUGAUUAACAUCACAAAUUUUAUCUUAAGAAUCAGCCAGCAUGAUUCAAGAUAGUAAAAGAAGCUGUUGUUGAAGGGAAUAGAGAAGAUAGAAUCAGUGCUUUACCAAGAAGCAUUAUAUAUUAUAUCUUUGAGGUCUUAUCGGUUCAAGAUGCAGCAAGAACUAGUGUUUUAUCCACAAACUGGAGAUAUAUUUGGACCAUGCUUCCUAAUAUUGUGUUGGAUAAGCUCCUUUGCAAUAAACAGAGGCGGAUCUAGGAUUUUUAGUAUAUGAGUGCACAAUCAAAAAAAGAAAAAAAAUAUAUUAAGUGGAAAUGAUCCCUAUUACUCUAGAUAAAUAACACAACCUUCAACCAAGUACCCUAAUCAACCUUCUUGGAGUAUGUGUGCCAACAGUUAAUAUUAUACCAAUUUAAAAAAAAAUAUAUAUAUACAUAAAAUAUUAAUUUUGCCGAGAGACCAUGGGUUCACAUGCCCCGUAAUCUUACCUAUACAUCCGCCCCUGGCAAUAAAUUAGCAAAAAGAUCUCAUUCUUUUUUCAACUAAACAGUAGGUUGGAUUCUCUUACAGCAUAUUGGAGACAUCGUGAUUUUUGUUCUUGAUGUUUCAGGAGUAAAUUUGUCUUCAUAUGCAAAUAUUGAUAGAUGGAUGUAGUAUGUCACCAAAAAUGGUGUCAAGGAGCUAACCCUAAACAUGCCAGAUAUUACUACUUAUAGACUCCCUUCGCAUAUAUUUAAUUGUCCAACCCUGACAUAUUUGGAUCUCCACAACUGUGUAUUCAAACCACCAAAUACUUUUCUAGGCUUUCAGAAUCUUGCAGACCUCCAUCUGAAUAAACCCCAGAGUUUUGUGUUAUCAAUGCCCCCCUUCUUGCCAAUUUGUACUUGAUAUACUGUAACGGCACGCAAUACCUAAACAUGGCCUCACCCACUGCCGGAGGCAGGAUAUUCACGAAGGGGUUCAAAAAAAAAAAUUUGCGUUGAGGUUUUGAACCCUCUUGACUGAACUAUACUUUUGGGUUGUGUUAAGGGGGUUCAAAACUUAAUAUAUAGAGGUAAAAAACAGAUUUUGCUUUAUAUAUACAGUGUAUUUUUUCGGCGAGGGGGUUCGGGUGAACCCCUUCCGCCCCCCUAAAUCCACCCCUGGCCUCACCGUUGCUGGAGUUCUUGACUGUUCGUCAGAGUCACUAUGAUCUUGAACUAAAUUGCUUUACAACAUGAUUUAAGAGUAUUGGACCUUGUGGUUAAUAAUCCAAAACAUGAUGAAAGAUCAACUUUGGGAAAGCUUCUUUUUAACUUGCCUACGCUUGAGGAUCUUGCUUUGGGCUCAAUUGACCUUGAGCUUUUGAGUGCAGACACAGUUUCGAAGCGGCUUCCUUGUACGCUCGACUGCUUGUGGUAUGUAAGGUUGGGUGUAUGCUUCGGCAAAAUGGGUCAGACUUCUUGCUCUCUAGAGUUAAUUAAGAGUACCCCCAAUUUGAGUAAACUUGAGAUUUGGGCCUAUGAUACCAGCGACAAUGCUGAAGCAGUUUAGAAAUAUCUAGGCACACCAACCUGCUUGGAACGGCCACUCAACCAGCUGAAAGAUGUAGUGAUACAUUGGUUUAACGGUUCAAAAACUGAACUGCUUUUCGUAAAGCUAUUGUUAGCUCAUAGUCCAUCUUUGAUAAGGAUGAGCAUUAAGCGUUAUAGAGCCUUUGGUUCCGACGAAGAAAGAAAUAUCACCACAGAAUUGAUGCGUUUCCCUAGAGCAUCUCCAAAGGCUGAGCUUUUUUAUUUGUCAAGUGUGUCUUAAACAGUAAGGUAAUGUAUUUGGACCCGUUUCUUUCUUGAAACAUUGUCACAUGUGCAAGAAAAUGUUAAAAUAUGUGCCCCAAAUUAGUUACUUAAGGAUUUCAAAUUCCAUAUAGUUUAAUGUACUCAUGAACUACUUUGCUCAUUACUUUUAAGGUUUUAGUUGGAUACUUGAAGUCUCUCAUGGUAGUAGUAGAGUAAUUCAUGCUCUUUGCUAUGUUACCACCAUGUUAAAGAUGCUGGCUUUACAAUUACUAGCAAACCAGUAGAGCUUGAGUAAUAUUUCCAAUGAACUUCAGUUAAAGAUUCUUGGUUCAGGGCAAUUUCUGCGAAGCAUUCAAGAUUUGUCAAAAGCUUCCAAGAAUAAAUCACUGUCCAAGUUAUCUAACACCAUCAUCUGGUUAAACUAAUUCUCUGAUUUACUUUAAAAUGAGCUGGUUCUUUAGCAAAUACAAACAUGUAUCGUGGGACAAAGGGGUGACUGGAAUACAUUAUACACGGAUAUGUUAAAUCUCGAAGCUUUGAUGGUUAUUAUGCGAAACCGGUGUCCACCUGCGUGGCAACCUGUAGGAUACCUUUUUUAUUAAGCUAACAGUUUUUCUAAUAUUCUUUGUUAGCACGGAAACAGUAUUCUAAUAAAGGGUCUUAUUGUUGCUACUUGAAGCUACAGAUGUUCUGUUAUAUUUUGAGAGUUGAUUGGUCUACUCCGUAAUUACCUACUCUUAGACAAAGGGGAUAUGCUGUAGUUUUACGUCUGAACUCUGAUGGUGCAAGCAAUAAAUUAGGAAGACGUCAAAGAUUAAGCAAAUUGUUCAAUUUUCUAUAGGUGAUUACAAGGUUGAAAGCAUGUAUAUAAGGCUUUUGUUCACCAUUCCCAGAGGCAGACCAUAAAGGGGUAGCACACACAACAUUUUAGGUAGCAAGUUCCUACUAUGAAGUCUGGUGAAUCAGCUAAUAAGGAUUGUAUUCCUUUAGAAUUGGACGCUUCAGUCAUGUAGUGUGUUUUUGUAUUAACAGUACUGAAUUCAUUAAAAGGAUGAAAGACUUUAUUAAGCAACCUUGACAUUGUUUUUAGGAGUUUACUUUGAAUAUUGUUGUGCUCUAGGUGAAUGUCGCGAAAGUGCAAAACACAAAAAAUGAACUCGGGCCCGGCCAUGUUUAAGUGAUUAUAUAUGCCUAUUUACUGCUGCAAGUUUGCUUGAUCUGACAUUAUAUCGACUUCCUUGCAGGAUGAUCUCCAGGUUAAAGUUUGUAUUUUGAGGGCAUCGGUAUAGUUAAUUUUCCACGCGUGUGGCAUAGUUAUUUGCUUGUUUUGCCAUGUCACAGUUGUUGAUUGUCAAAAGUCCCACAUCGGUGGGUGACACUUUGGGAUUGAGAAUUUUUCCCUA
Non-coding RNA from Nicotiana tabacum (common tobacco), 3374 nucleotides. The record is from RefSeq and is a predicted model, not a curated record. Lineage: Eukaryota; Viridiplantae; Streptophyta; Magnoliopsida; Solanales; Solanaceae.